CUGCACUAGAAGAAGUAGUGUCAGUGGUGAAGAGGCAGCGUACGGCCUGCGCACCGGAGAGAACUUAUUGUCUCAUUUUUCUGUUUUUACAGGCCGCAGCUGACCAUUGAAACAGCAGACUAGAUGGCAGUUUGAUCCCAAACAUCAGAAACCCAGCUGCGCUGAAGCGCCGUGCUGCAGUGAACAUUCAGUGCGUGGAAGUGCAUGACACAUGCCAUCGCUGUUUACUUCUGUUACUGUUGUGUCAGCGAAGCCCCCUCAGCUGACAUCACAUUACGGGUCUUCUGUGUAAGGCCCUCGCAAACACUGUGACCUUUUGAACCCUGGCAGACAUCCACCCGCCAGCUCCAACAUUCUUCACCUGCUUCACUGCUAUUUCAUCCAUGUGGAAGAGCGCUGCCUGUCGUAGUUCGCCUCUAAUCCCUGAAUCUGAUCCAUACAGCUUUCCACAAAAACACCUCAGAGACCCACGGUGUACUCGUAUCUUGAACAGCUCCAUUAGUUAUCCUCUUUGACCUGGAUGAUCGCUGCUAAUGUUCAGAAGAGCUUAAGCGAAAAGAGCAUGACAUGUGUAUGAGUUACAGAUAUGUACCUGAGAUCUGUGCUAAGGUGAAACCAGAUAGAAACAUAAUGCAACAUAAUCAUUGAUUCAACACUGUUAGCAGCACAUGCAGUGUGUGAUAUUUAUAUGAUGGCUUCAUCUGUUUCCCUUUUCAUUUCUCUUUUAACAUCAAUAUCUUGUUGUAUUUGGCACAAAAGGACAAAACUGGCUGUGCUCAAUUAAAUACUUUUUAAAAUUCUUUUUUUCAGCCCCCCCCAAAAAAGAAUGUAAUGUGAGGUCAAAGGCAGAAAUGUGAAAUUAAUAUAUUAUUAAAUACACACACAAACAAUUUAAAUAGAAAAAAAGAAUCUGAAAAGAUUAUAAUUAAAAGGUUGACACAAAAGACAAAGAAACUAAACCUUCAGGUCCGUGUAACAUGUUUCACAAACCACAUGCAUAACGAGACCAUUUGAACUGAGGCUACUCUUUAUCAGUUACACUAAUGAUUGUUCAGCAGCUCAUGAUUAUCAGACAAAAGCUCCC
This is a long non-coding RNA of Oreochromis aureus, 1084 nucleotides long. The record is from Ensembl. NCBI's taxonomy places the organism in Eukaryota, Metazoa, Chordata, Actinopteri, Cichliformes, Cichlidae.